UUGAUCCUGGCUCAGGAUGAACGCUGGCGGCGUGCUUAACACAUGCAAGUCGAACGAUGAAGCCCAGCUUGCUGGGUGGAUUAGUGGCGAACGGGUGAGUAACACGUGAGUAACCUGCCCUUGACUCUGGGAUAAGCCUGGGAAACUGGGUCCUAAUACUGGAUAUGACUUCUCACCGCAUGGUGGGGGGUGGAAAGAUUUAUUGGUCUUGGAUGGACUCGCGGCCUAUCAGCUUGUUGGUGAGGUAAUGGCUCACCAAGGCGACGACGGGUAGCCGGCCUGAGAGGGUGACCGGCCACACUGGGACUGAGACACGGCCCAGACUCCUACGGGAGGCAGCAGUGGGGAAUAUUGCACAAUGGGCGCAAGCCUGAUGCAGCGACGCCGCGUGAGGGAUGACGGCCUUCGGGUUGUAAACCUCUUUCAGUAGGGAAGAAGCGAAAGUGACGGUACCUGCAGAAGAAGCGCCGGCUAACUACGUGCCAGCAGCCGCGGUAAUACGUAGGGCGCGAGCGUUAUCCGGAAUUAUUGGGCGUAAAGAGCUCGUAGGCGGUUUGUCGCGUCUGCCGUGAAAGUCCGGGGCUUAACCCCGGAUCUGCGGUGGGUACGGGCAGACUAGAGUGCAGUAGGGGAGACUGGAAUUCCUGGUGUAGCGGUGAAAUGCGCAGAUAUCAGGAGGAACACCGAUGGCGAAGGCAGGUCUCUGGGCUGUAACUGACGCUGAGGAGCGAAAGCAUGGGGAGCGAACAGGAUUAGAUACCUGGUAGUCCAUGCGUAAACGUUGGGCACUAGGUGUGGGGGACAUUCCACGUUUUCCGCGCCGUAGCUAACGCAUUAAGUGCCCCGCCUGGGGAGUACGGCCGCAAGGCUAAAACUCAAAGGAAUUGACGGGGGCCCGCACAAGCGGCGGAGCAUGCGGAUUAAUUCGAUGCAACGCGAAGAACCUUACCAAGGCUUGACAUGUUCCUGACCGCCGUAGAGAUACGGUUUCCCCUUUGGGGCAGGUUCACAGGUGGUGCAUGGUUGUCGUCAGCUCGUGUCGUGAGAUGUUGGGUUAAGUCCCGCAACGAGCGCAACCCUCGUUCCAUGUUGCCAGCACGUAGUGGUGGGGACUCAUGGGAGACUGCCGGGGUCAACUCGGAGGAAGGUGGGGACGACGUCAAAUCAUCAUGCCCCUUAUGUCUUGGGCUUCACGCAUGCUACAAUGGCCGGUACAAUGGGUUGCAAUACUGUGAGGUGGAGCUAAUCCCAAAAAGCCGGUCUCAGUUCGGAUUGGGGUCUGCAACUCGACCCCAUGAAGUCGGAGUCGCUAGUAAUCGCAGAUCAGCAACGCUGCGGUGAAUACGUUCCCGGGCCUUGUACACACCGCCCGUCAAGUCACGAAAGUUGGUAACACCCGAAGCCGGUGGCCUAACCCU
Molecule: ribosomal RNA, 1418 nt
Filed under: Micrococcus sp. SNN-LL-11
Lineage: Bacteria; Bacillati; Actinomycetota; Actinomycetes; Micrococcales; Micrococcaceae
Description: bacterial SSU rRNA
Rfam family: Bacterial small subunit ribosomal RNA
Source: RNAcentral